CAGAAAUGCUACAGCUAAAACAGUACAUCUCCAAAGUGCUUGUGCCUUUUGUGCAAGUAAUUCUACAGUUUGUUUAACAGAGUGAUUGUUGAUU
Etheostoma cragini (Arkansas darter) is the source of this 94-nucleotide long non-coding RNA. RefSeq lists it as uncharacterized. Lineage: Eukaryota; Metazoa; Chordata; Actinopteri; Perciformes; Percidae. The transcript is spliced from 3 exons. The record is from RefSeq and is a predicted model, not a curated record.